Molecule: long non-coding RNA, 626 nt
Organism: Prionailurus viverrinus (fishing cat)
Lineage: Eukaryota; Metazoa; Chordata; Mammalia; Carnivora; Felidae
Exons: 2
Source: RefSeq, a predicted model, not a curated record
UCUUGCUCCAGGGUGUGGCUACUUGCCCGUUGCUGCCCCAGAGAAAAGUGUGAGGAAGCAAGUUCUCGUCCAUCCAUCCUCUUUGUUCCCUUGCCAGGUCCAAGCAAGCAAGAGUGGCGCCACGAUCCUGAGAAACUCAGCACUUAAUCUGGGUUAAUGGCACUGGGGAUGUGUAGCAUGUGUGAGCCUGUCAGUGAAGAUACAUCAUCGAUAAUAUAUUUACUCCAUAGAAUAAUGUGAGCUACCAACACAGAGCACAGUGAAUCUGUAAAGCCGCUGAAAUACCUAGAGGAAGUCUGGAUCCAAACUCUAUUCAGGCAGGCAGUAUGUAAAUUUCAUGACUGGAUUUAACUACAUUUACUUUAACCCAAUUGCCAGAUUUUUGCAGGUUAGCACUUUAUUCUACCUGAGGUUGACUUGGGCUCCCACUUCACCUGCACCCUCGAGAGACUCCCUGCCCAUUCUUGUAAAGCUUCAUCCAAAAACCUCCAGUUUUCAUUUAAAAGUAGCAUUUCUUCACCAUCCUGACCCCAACGGAUUUCCCAGGAAUUCCACUUACAUCAUGUGUAAUAGGUCACCUUCCCCCUGCCCCCACCACCGCCGGAUCCUUUUUUUUUUUUUUUUUU